Long non-coding RNA from Oncorhynchus tshawytscha (Chinook salmon), 2543 nucleotides. NCBI's taxonomy places the organism in Eukaryota, Metazoa, Chordata, Actinopteri, Salmoniformes, Salmonidae. The record is from Ensembl.
UUUAUGAUAGCUGUAAAAGUGUCAGGAUGAUGUAUGGUAGCUGUAGAGGUGUCAAGGUGAUCUAUGAUAGCUGUAUAGGUCCCAGGGUGAUCUAUGAUAGCUGUAGAGGUGUCAGAGUGAUCUAUGGUAGCUGUAGAGGUGUCAGGAUGAUAGCUGUAGAAGUGUCAGGAUGAUGUAUGAUAGCUGUAGAGGUGUCAGGAUAAUGUAUGAUAGCUGUAGAGGUGUCAGGAUGAUGUAUGAUAGCUGUAAAAGUGUCAGGAUGAUGUAUGAUAGCUGUAGAGGUGUCAAGGUGAUCUAUGAUAGCUGUAUAGGUCCCAGGGUGAUCUAUGAUAGCUGUAGAGGUGUCAGAGUGAUCUAUGGUAGCUGUAGAGGUGUCAGGGUGAUCUAUGAUAGCUGUAGAGGUGUCAGUGUGAUGUAUGAUAGCUGUAGAGGUUCCAGGGUGAUGUAUGAUAGCUGUAGAGGUGAUGUAUGAUAGCUGUAGAUGGCUGUAGAGGUGUCAGGAUGAUAGCUGUAGGGGUGUCAGGAUGAUUUAUGAUAGCUGUAGAGGUGUCAGGAUGAUAGCUGUAGAAGUGUCAGGAUGAUGUAUGAUAGCUGUAGGGGUGUCAGGAUGAUAGCUGUAGAAGUGUCAGGAUGAUGUAUGGUAGCUAUAGAGGAGCCCGAAUGAUGUAUGGUAGCUGUAGAGGUGUCAGGUCAUCUAUGGUAGCUGUAGAGGUGUCAGGGUGAUGUAUGACAGCUCUAAUCACUGCAUCUGACAACCUUCAACUAGAGGAGGAUACUCUGCCACCAGUCGACCCAGCACACCAGUCCAUUCAGCAGUCCGCCCAGGUCAGCAAUGCCCAUUUGUCCCUCCCGGAUAAAUAUGACGGGGUAGAGGAUUGGUACCAGCACGCAACCCCAUCUAAGUGGCUUCCUACUCAAGUGCUCCCUCUAUUUUGCACAACAGAUGGGAGGCCUCACCACCGAGAGGUCCCAGGUUGCCAUGGUUAUUUCUCUGCUGACUAGGAGGGGGUUGGAGAGGGCUUCAGCCGUCUGGGAGAGAGGAGAGGAGGAGCUGGCUUCGUAUGAGGGGUUCAUGGCUCUGUUCAGAUGUAUCUUCGAUCAUCCGCCGUAGGGCAGAGAGGGGAGUGAGCUUCUAUUCCAACUACGGCAAGAUGAACAACCCGCUGCCGAGUAGGCGCUCACCUUCCAGACAGUAGCAAUAUCCAGUGGAUUGAAUGAGCCGGCACCCCGUACGUUAUUCAGAUGAGGACUGCGCAGGGAGGUCCAGACGCAACUGGCAUGUCGAGACGACAACCUCUCCUUGGAGCCUGAACGAUGCAGACGGAAACAGCUGGGGCUCUGUCCCUAUUGUGGUCAAGGGGGGCACCAGCUUCAGCAGUGUCCGGUACAUCCCAACUCGGUAUCCCUGGUCACAUCUGUCCAUUGAUUUUGUCACUGAUCUCUGAUGCUUUCACCACCAUUUUGGAUUCUCUAAAUCCUGCCGUUUUAUCCCCCUCUGGUCUCCAGGUUGCUAAGGCAGUGUUUCAGCAGGUCUUCUGGCAUUAUGGCCUUCCGGAGGACAUCGUCUCCGACCGUUGCCCCCAAUUCGCAUCACGGACAUGAAGAGCCUUCAUGGAGAAGUUUGAGGUCACGGUCAGCCUCAGUCUAAAGGGCAGGUGGAGAGGAUGAACCAGGAGCUGGGGAAGUUCCUGAGGAGCCACUGCCAGGACCGGCAGGGGGAGUGGGCCCAAUUCCUUCCAGAGGCGGAGUACGCCCAGAAUGUGUUACGUCACUCCUCCACUAGGCUGACUCCAUUCCAUUGUGUUCUGGGUUGUCAGCCGGUCCUGGCUCUGUUGACCCCGGGCCAGACCGAAGCUCCUGCGGUGGUUUAGGCACACAGAAAAAGUGUGGAGCGAUACUCACGUCAGACUAAAGCGCACCGUCCAAUGUCAGGAGUAGAAGGAUUGCCACUGCAGUUAAGCUCCUGUGUUCCAUCAUGUUCUACCAGGAACCUCCCACUCCCUGCAAGAAGCUGAACCCCGGUUUGUGGGGCCGUUCAAGGUUCUCCGAAGGGUCAACGAGGUGACGUAUAUAUUACAGCUACCCAGUGACUACCGUAUCUUACCUUCCUUUCAUGUCUCCCUUCUCAGGCCGGUGGUUCCUGGUCCCCUGGCUAAAGCUGUCCCCUCGUGGGGGGGGGAUUCUGUCACGUCUACUCCCACUCUCCUUCUUCGGCGCUCGACGUUGCCGAUUUACAAAUCACUGCCUCUGACAACCAUCAUUACGUACACCAUCGUUACCCGCACUAGCACCUCAUUAUGAGACUCACCUGGACUCCAUCCCUUCCCUGAUUGUCGCUCCCUUUGGUUCAUUCCCCAGGCAGUAUUGGUUAUGUGUUUAUGUCCAGACGCUACUCUUGUUUUGUAUCGUUCCAUGUUCAUCGUGUUAUUAAACUCACCACCUGCACCUGCUUCUCGACUCCCAGUGUCUGCGUUAGUCUUGUCCAGAGUAAAGCUGUUCUCUUCCCUGGGGGCUGUCAGGAUAUAUUAGGAGUUAUUUUCAUG